UACGAAGGGGGCUAGCGUUGUUCGGAGUUACUGGGCGUAAAGGGCGCGUAGGCGGCCCUCCAAGUCGGGUGUGAAAGCCCACGGCUCAACCGUGGAAUUGCACUCGAGACUGACGGGCUCGAGGACGGGAGAGGAUGGUGGAAUUCCCAGUGUAGAGGUGAAAUUCGUAGAUAUUGGGAAGAACACCGGUGGCGAAGGCGGCUCUCUGGACCGAGACUGACGCUGAGGCGCGAAAGCGUGGGGAGCAAACAGG
This 253-nucleotide ribosomal RNA is filed under the name uncultured bacterium. RNAcentral describes it as "partial 16S ribosomal RNA". It matches the Rfam family "Bacterial small subunit ribosomal RNA", at positions 524 to 776 of the family's 1533-position model. The record is from RNAcentral.